CCUACGGGCGGCAGCAGUGAGGAAUAUUGGUCAAUGGGCGCGAGCCUGAACCAGCCAAGUCGCGUGAGGGAAGACGGUCCUAUGGAUUGUAAACCUCUUUUGUCGGGGAGCAAAAGACGCCACGCGUGGCGUUCCGAGAGUACCCGAAGAAAAAGCAUCGGCUAACUCCGUGCCAGCAGCCGCGGUAAUACGGAGGAUGCGAGCGUUAUCCGGAUUUAUUGGGUUUAAAGGGUGCGCAGGCGGAAGGUCAAGUCAGCGGUAAAAUUGAGAGGCUCAACCUCUUCGAGACGUUGAAACUGGUGUUCUUGAGUGAGUGAGAAGAAUGCGGAAUGCGUGGUGUAGCGGUGAAAUGCAUAGAUAUAACGCAGAACACCGAUGGCGAAGGCAGCAUACCGGCGCUCAACUGACGCUCAUGCACGAAAGUGUGGGUAUCGAACAGGAUUAGAGACCCCAGUAGUC
RNAcentral lists this ribosomal RNA (459 nucleotides) under uncultured bacterium. RNAcentral describes it as "partial 16S ribosomal RNA". It matches the Rfam family "Bacterial small subunit ribosomal RNA", at positions 338 to 795 of the family's 1533-position model. The record is from RNAcentral.